Molecule: transfer RNA, 69 nt
Filed under: Marmota monax (woodchuck)
Lineage: Eukaryota; Metazoa; Chordata; Mammalia; Rodentia; Sciuridae
Description: tRNA.Ala
Source: RNAcentral
GGGGUUGUGGGUCAGUGGUAGAGCACUUGCCUUGCACGUGAGGCACUGAGUUCGAUCCUCAGCACCACA